ACGAACGCUGGCGGCGUGCUUAACACAUGCAAGUCGAACGGAAAGGCCCCUUUGGGGGUACUCGAGUGGCGAACGGGUGAGUAACACGUGAGUAACCUGCCCUUGACUUCGGGAUAACUUCAGGAAACUGGGGCUAAUACCGGAUAGGAAUCCUUGCUGCAUGGUGGGGGUUGGAAAGCUUCGGCGGUUUUGGAUGGACUCGCGGCUUAUCAGCUUGUUGGUGGGGUAGUGGCUUACCAAGGCUUUGACGGGUAGCCGGCCUGAGAGGGCGACCGGCCACAUUGGGAUUGAGAUACGGCCCAGACUCCUACGGGAGGCAGCAGUGGGGAAUAUUGCACAAUGGGCGGAAGCCUGAUGCAGCAACGCCGCGUGCGGGAGGACGGCCUUCGGGUUGUAAACCGCUUUCAGCAGGGGCGAAGCUUGUGGUGACGGUACCUGCAGAAGAAGCACCGGCUAACUACGUG
This 464-nucleotide ribosomal RNA is filed under the name uncultured bacterium. RNAcentral describes it as "partial 16S ribosomal RNA". It matches the Rfam family "Bacterial small subunit ribosomal RNA", at positions 29 to 507 of the family's 1533-position model. The record is from RNAcentral.